CCUACGGGAGGCAGCAGUGGGGAAUUUUGGACAAUGGGCGCAAGCCUGAUCCAGCCAUGCCGCGUGUGGGAAGAAGGCCUUCGGGUUGUAAACCACUUUUGUCAGGGAAGAAACGGUCUGAUCUAAUAAAUUGGGCUAAUGACGGUACCUGAAGAAUAAGCACCGGCUAACUACGUGCCAGCAGCCGCGGUAAUACGUAGGGUGCAAGCGUUAAUCGGAAUUACUGGGCGUAAAGCGUGCGCAGGCGGCUUUGCAAGACAGAUGUGAAAUCCCCGGGCUCAACCUGGGAACUGCAUUUGUGACUGCAUGGCUAGAGUACGGUAGAGGGGGAUGGAAUUCCGCGUGUAGCAGUGAAAUGCGUAGAUAUGCGGAGGAACACCGAUGGCGAAGGCAAUCCCCUGGACCUGUACUGACGCUCAUGCACGAAAGCGUGGGGAGCAAACAGGAUUAGAUACCCUGGUAGUCCACGCCCUAAACGAUGUCAACUGGUUGUUGGACGGCUUGCUGUUCAGUACGAGCUAACGCGUGAAGUUGACCGCCUGGGGGAGGUUAGGCGCGAGUUAGAGNGNANGAGUUGNGNGNGAGAGNGCGAGGACGACGACGAGGGAGGAG
Molecule: ribosomal RNA, 612 nt
Filed under: uncultured bacterium
Lineage: Bacteria
Description: bacterial SSU rRNA
Rfam family: Bacterial small subunit ribosomal RNA (bases 1-540)
Source: RNAcentral